AUCAGAAAGAAGCGUAACAAAAAGGUUAUGAUUCUGAUAAUGUUGUUUUACAAAAGUUAAGCUUUAAUAAAAGCAUAAAACCCAUAUAUUUGUUACCUACGAAACAUCUACACAUAGAAAAUUCAUCUUCCUCUGCUGAAUAUCCCAGUUUGCUACUCGCCGGUAAAUCUGAAAUUUGAUAGGAGAGAGAUUAGACAUCGGGUUUGUAUUUUU
Molecule: long non-coding RNA, 213 nt
Filed under: Brassica napus (rape)
Lineage: Eukaryota; Viridiplantae; Streptophyta; Magnoliopsida; Brassicales; Brassicaceae
Description: long non-coding RNA (BNAP_LNC020155)
Source: RNAcentral